Molecule: long non-coding RNA, 362 nt
Filed under: Setaria italica (foxtail millet)
Lineage: Eukaryota; Viridiplantae; Streptophyta; Magnoliopsida; Poales; Poaceae
Description: long non-coding RNA (SITA_LNC004809)
Source: RNAcentral
GUUAGCAAAAGUGAUAGCUACACCAAACCAAUCGGGAAGUGUCAUAGUAUCACAGAAGGUAGUACAAGAUUGCAAUCCCGAACAGAAGCAGCAUGCUAUAACUCAACCAGUGCAAGGCAGCCAACCAAUGAUAAGUGCCGCACAGCCUCAAUUUGUUGUCCAGAACCAACUCCAGCAACCUCAAGUCAUUCUCCAGGCUCAGGCUCAGCAACCUCAAGUCAUUCUCCAGGCUCAAAUCCAGCAACAGCAGCCUUUGGUUCAAAACCACACAGUUCUACAUGGUGAUCUUCAACAAGCCCAGCUUCUACAGCAACAGGAACCACAUUUACAGCAGCAGCCACAACAGGUUCAGCAAUCAGUGC